UAAGCCCUAUGGGAAACUAGCCCAUAUCUUCUGAAUGCAACCCAGACACUUUUAUUAAGCUAAAGCCUUUCU
This 72-nucleotide transfer RNA is filed under the name Anolis barkeri (Barker's anole). Its description in RNAcentral is "tRNA-Ala". Lineage: Eukaryota; Metazoa; Chordata; Lepidosauria; Squamata; Anolidae. The record is from RNAcentral.